GUAGACCAAUUUAUUGGGCCCUUUCGCACACCAUUAAUAUGCGCAAGAUCCUCCUUGUUCUCACUUGUUGAGAGUUUAGGCCUCUUUGAGGCCAAUAUUUGGUCCCCAUUUCUUGUCGAAGUGGAUGACGCAAACAUUUCUUCAUGUUUCUCAUUUGAUUUUGAUUUGCGAGCUUUCAUCACCUUUUGAGUAGGCUUCUUUGGCCACUUCAUUAUCAUUCCAUCUCGGUUUAGCCUCGAGUUACAUGCGGCAAUCUCACACAAGGUUUGAGCAGCUGCCAGUACUUUUGGACAAUGCUCAACUUUUCCUCGAUUCUUGAGGCCACCAGAUUCCUUCAUGCAAGUAUCGCCCAGAGGAGUGUGGGAUGUCACAGAAGCGGAUGCUAUUGAGGAACCCCACUCGCACCGAGGAACAAAUGUAGAUGAAGCAAAAUUAUUAUCUAGGAUAGACAGCUUUGUACCACUUGCUGGAACUAAGGUCUCAUCAUAAGCGAAGGACUCCAAGUUUGUAAAAUAAUUAG
RNAcentral lists this unclassified non-coding RNA (520 nucleotides) under Hevea brasiliensis (rubber tree). Lineage: Eukaryota; Viridiplantae; Streptophyta; Magnoliopsida; Malpighiales; Euphorbiaceae. The record is from RNAcentral.